CCUACGGGAGGCAGCAGUGAGGAAUAUUGGUCAAUGGACGCGAGUCUGAACCAGCCAAGUAGCGUGAAGGAUGACUGCCCUAUGGGUUGUAAACUUCUUUUAUAUGGGAAUAAACUGUUCCACGUGUGGGAUUUUGUAUGUACCAUAUGAAUAAGGAUCGGCUAACUCCGUGCCAGCAGCCGCGGUAAUACGGAGGAUCCGAGCGUUAUCCGGAUUUAUUGGGUUUAAAGGGUGCGUAGGUGGAUUGAUAAGUCAGUUGUGAAAGUUUGCGGCUCAACCGUAAAAUUGCAGUUGAUACUGGCAGUCUUGAGUACAGUAGAGGUAGGCGGAAUGCGUGGUGUAGCGGUGAAAUGCUUAGAGAUCACGAAGAACUCCGAUUGCGAAGGCAGUUCACUGAACUGCAACUGACACUGAGGCUCGAAAGUGUGGGUAUCAAACAGGAUUAGAUACCCGAGUAGUC
RNAcentral lists this ribosomal RNA (460 nucleotides) under uncultured bacterium. RNAcentral's name for it is "partial 16S ribosomal RNA". It matches the Rfam family "Bacterial small subunit ribosomal RNA", at positions 338 to 795 of the family's 1533-position model. The record is from RNAcentral.